UUCAGACUGUGUUUGCACUCUUCGGCGCGACUGUUUACUUCAUUAUCCUACUCUAUAAGGCAUUCUACUCGUUAAUUUCACAAAAGGAGAGAGAUAGGAUCGGGAGUGGCAACUCGAUUUUACUCCUGUGCAAUUACAUCACGGUGCCUAUGUUAACGAUGCUCGCCGGGCAGAAGGCCCGCAACGAGGCGGACCGGGUGAUCAGAACGUUGGCGCGUCUGCACAACAUACUAUUGGCAGUUCGAGGCGAUGGCGUGGCAGAGCUGAACAAAACAGUGGCAAACCUUCACCGAGUAAUGAAAGUGAAUCCC
This is a long non-coding RNA of Cydia amplana, 311 nucleotides long. RefSeq lists it as uncharacterized. The record is from RefSeq and is a predicted model, not a curated record. NCBI's taxonomy places the organism in Eukaryota, Metazoa, Arthropoda, Insecta, Lepidoptera, Tortricidae. The transcript has 3 exons.